Long non-coding RNA from Taeniopygia guttata (zebra finch), 6093 nucleotides. The record is from Ensembl. NCBI's taxonomy places the organism in Eukaryota, Metazoa, Chordata, Aves, Passeriformes, Estrildidae.
UUUUUUUUUUUUUUUUUUAACUUCUGGAAUAACACACAAAGUUCAGUAAAUAUUAUUCAAAUAUUUGUGAAGUCAAGGCUGGUAUCCUCAUGUCUGACAGCAGCUUCCUUGUGUCCUCUCUCUGAGCUUGGAAAGAUCAACCCAUCUGAAAGGAAAAUACCUCAGUGACAUGUUUACUUUUUUCACAGCUUGUUUUCUUGCCUGGAUAGGAAAGCCUGAGGCCAUCAGUGUUUAAAUCUGGGUUUAAAACCUGCAAGCCUGUUGUGGGCUGGCAGGUGGAGGCACAGCCGCAGCUUGCAAGAAUCCCUCACCCUGAACUCCCAAAUAUUCUCUGCAGAAGUUAAAGAUUUCCUGGCAGUCAGUGCAGGGGGAUGGGCUGUUCCAGUCUCCAUUUAAAAUUUUCAGAUGACUUUAGUGUUCAUUCAUGCCCAAAGUUAUACCCUUUUGUAUUCAUUCAUUUGAUCUUAUCUUGUUUUUCCUGUUGGCCCAGGAAACCCUCUCCCCUCUCAAUCCUGAUAUUUAGGGAUAUCAUUAUCCAUCAGCCAGGACUUUUCAAUAUCUAGUGCUAAAAUAAAUAACAAAAAAUAAUAAAAAAUAAACUGAGCUUCUCCACCCUGUCUGCAUAAGCAACAUUUCCAGGCCCUGAAUCACUUCUGGGGCACUUUUCCUGGACACUCCCAAUGUGCCACCCUUCUCUUGGCAAGGGGACACCAGAGCUGGGGACAUGGCCCUCCCUGCUCUCACCCCAUUGUCACAGCCACAGGAAAUGCACCCUCCAUCCUCGCCCCAGCACAGCUGAUGGGACAGUCAGAGUUACUGCAGGUCUUUGAAAUCACAAAUCCAAGGACUGGCCCUGGGAGCCUGGAUUACCUCUGAGGGGACACAGAAAUGUUUUUAGAGGUUGUCCCACUAAAAUAAGGCUAAAAGUCAUGGUUCUGCCAUGGCUUUCACGUACUUUCCUUUCCAAGAAAGAGGUUGUCCCAUCCUAUAAAUCACACCUUCCCUUUUCCUAGAAUCUCCUUGUGGUUGUACUAAAAAAGGCAAUUCUGGCUUGCACCAAGUCGAGUGAUCUGGCUUAUUUUUUAGCAGCUGUCUAAAAAUGUUACCGGAAGGGUUUUCUUUUUUCCCUUAACAGGUAAAACUCAAGAACCAACCACUUUGCAACCCCUCUGUGAACCCCACACACUUCCCCAGGACAGCUGCACCUCCCAGCCCCCUUUGUCCUCCCAUCAGGUGAGCUGUGAUGGCUUUGCUUUGUUAGAAUUUAUCAAUUUAUCUGAGCAGCAGACUCCACUCCAGCUCUAUUUGUACCACGGCCUGACGCCAAGUCAAACCACACAACCAAGGCUGUGGCAUUGACAAGAUCCUCUUUAUCAGUGCAAAUCCUAGCCCUGUAGAAAUAGAAUCGUUUGUAGAGGUCUAUUUUCAUCCUUUUCUGGGCUUGGCAUCAGUUACACCCCUCUUUUAAUUAACUACAUGUUGCUUUGUAUUCAGAGCCAUCUCAGUAUUUCAGCAGUGACGGAUGCCAAGCUGGCAGCCUCCAAAUAACCCAAGGGGCCUCAUUGCCCUUUGCAAAAUACUGGCUUCUUUCUGGAGCUCCUCCCACAGCCUGAAUAUAGCAGCAGGGUUUGGGUCUGGGACACCGAAGCCCCACGCUGCCCUCAGAGCACGGAGCCACAUCCCCGUGUGAGGUGGGCACUGCUGGCUCCUCCUGGGCAGCAGAGGCACGUGGUGGUGUGGAGAGGGUCUCACUGUCCUUUGCCAGCUCUUUUCCUUUCUGACUGGGGCGAGGAUUUGAACUCAGCCCGUCCCAAGUGUCGCUCCCAAGCAUUAAUCUCACAGGGUGCCUCUGUUUCCAUGACCCUAUUUCCACCCUCAGCGUUACACUCCACUCCAGCUCCGUGAGCUGUUCCAGAUGUUUUGGAAAACCCCUUGCAGUUUGGUAAAAGCUCCAGAAAACAAGAUAAUUUCUCCCAUCAGAGAGAUCUAAAGGAGGAGGAGGAGGAGGAGGAGGAACAACAGCAGAGGAUGUGAGGAGCAGAGUCAUGGUUGGAUAACAUCUCCCCAGGCUACCAUCCACAUCAAGUACAAACCAGGAAUGAUGAAGUGCUGAGGCAGGUCAGAGCUACCACAGAUCUCUCUUGAAGACAAAGGCCAAACCCCUGCAUCCCGGUCCUUUUCCAUCAGUGGGAGUUUUGCCCCUGGCUGCAGCAAAUGGCAUUUCUCUCUGAGCCUGCUCCACAGCCCUGAGGGGCUGGAGACUCACCAUCAUGACAGGAGCAGGGAAGAUGGAUACAGCACAUUCUGGAGCUGCAGCUCUGUCCUCAGCUCCUGAGCGUGCCUUGGCUUCUCCUGAGCUGCUACUGAGAUGCAGAUGGGAUUCAAUCCCAAUUCCCAGAGCUGCCCUGUGAGCAGGAAAACUGCAGCCAACGUGUGGGUGGGUCUGGGUGGAGCCUUCUGUGGAUUAAACCCCUUGGUCCCCCAACACUGCGCUCUUCCUGCCAGUUUGUGUCCCUUCCUCUUGCUGAAACCUUGCACUAACAAAUGUUUCAUUCAUAAAGCAUCCCUUCACCUCCCGUGCUGAAAUUCUCACGCUCUAGUUAGGUCUAUCCAUAACUAUAUGGAAUCAAAUUACAUAGAAAGCCAGCACCAGAAAUAGAGAGGGACUAAACCAACAGCCUGGAUUCAGCCUCCACCCAAGCAGGAGUCACUGGAAGCUGGACCUGCCUCCAGACUUUGUGGCUGGAGCCCAUCUGCAAGUCUAAAAGCCAAAGUGAAAAUAGAGAAGAAACCAAGUAACAUGGCAUCUCCUGCCUUGACCACAGGCUCCCUGGGGCAGGGCCGCCUGUUUGUUUGUCUGGAGAAGAAUUUCACUGUCUGCGGAUGAGGAGCUGGGGCGGGGCCCGGGAGUCGGGUUAGGGGCAGAGAGCAGCGGAGAGGUGGAGGUGGGCUUGGUGCUCCUCCAGCUCCAGCAGCAGGACGGGCAGCAGCAGAUAUGGCUAUAGGGAAGGCCGUGAUCCCCCUUGUUCAUUCCUCAGCACUACUGUGACCCCAAAAUCUCCAAAAAAUGUGGUACCAUUGGCUGCCACCUCCUUGGCUGCUGCCCAGCUCUGGGGUGUGACAGCAAGGCAGCUCCUCCUGGACAGUGCUGGGGAGAGGCUGAGGGGAGCCAGGCAAAGGAGAGAGGCCUCUGGGCAAAGGCACCUCCCGGCCCCUGGGCUCAGGGGGCUGCUGGAGCCUCUGGUCCUUUCCAGCUGAAACCUGGCACCUGAGAGCUGCCCCUCACAGCUGGAACGUGUGCCUCUCCUGUGCCUCUCGCUUUGAGCUAUCCUGGUCACACCAGGAAACAAAUGCAUUUGGUUCCCUAAAUGGGAGAAGGUUUUUUGUCAUCGUCGUCAUUUUUCUAGUUUCGCUCUUUGCUAGCAGCCCUUCCUCUUCCUCCCUGCUCUCCAAAAUAGCAAAAAGCUGCAUCCUCCUCCCCAGCUGCCUCUUGUAGGUUGCUGCAACACCCAGCACUUCUCCUCAGCCACCAGUAGCAAAGGUCAGAGCCCACGUGGAGGGGACCAGUGCUCCAAGCUCAAGGGUUUGUUGCUGGGUGGCCUAAAGCAGGUAUGUGUGGGGUCCUGCUGGUACUGGUACCUUUGGAUGUGUGCCACACCCUGCCAGGCUGAAAAUGUCCUUCCUACCACUCACCUCUGUGUCAUCCCACCCUCCCACAGAGCCUGGGAUGGGGAGUGGACCUUACAUCCCUUCUUCUGCUGUCACUGUGCCUCUGUUGCAGCAGGGCAGAUGAUGAGCUGGUGCCUCGGUGCCACGGGACCAAGAGAAGGAAGCAGUGGUGGUGCAAGGAGUGGUCAAAGAGUCAGAGGUGGAGGAAGGACAUGCUCAGGCUGUCAGAGCUGCAAGCCUGCCAGUCCCUAAACCCUUUUUGUUGUCCAAACCCAGAGUUCCUCCCUGACAAAUGCCUCCCUGGUGGUCUCCUUGGGGUGGAGCUCACACUUCUAUCAGCAGCUCCAGGAGCCCAGCAUGAUGCCAUCUAUUGUGUCCUAGCCCUGACCACCACUGAUCUGCCUGGAGGAAAAACUGCUCAUCCUGGUUGGAGGCAGCACCAUCUCUGCCCCCCUGAUGGAUGGUGGCUCUCGGACAGAGCUCUCCAGGCUGGCUGCCUGCUGGGAAGGGGCUGAGCUGGCUCUGACCUUGGCACAUCUUCCUCCUGGAGUUUUUCUGCCUCCUUUGGUGCCAGUCACCAUCUGAGCCCAAACUGGACCUUCUCUAGGAAGCAGCCUGUGGGACAAAGGUUUUCAGGUGUGAUGAGGAUAUCAAACUGGAUGGAAAGGUUUUUAUGAUGUCAGAACCUAUGACUCCUUAAUAAAUCUCAAUAGAAAAUAGUGAAAAGGAGAGCAAAACAAAUUCCAAAGUCCCGCAGACCCGAGCAGUCCUCAUGAAACCUGCCAACAGCCAAAGGGCUCCAGCACACGGCAGACACCUGUGACUGGCUGCUCCCUGAACUCCAGAGCAUCCCUAAAACCUCACAGGUUGCCUCCCUGCCUCUUUCCACCGCUCCAGGCUUUUCUCUCCUCUGCAUCUUCUCCAAACCCUCCUGCGGGCGCACGACUGCGGCUCAGCCCACGCGCCGCUCCCGGGCAGCAGCUCAGGCUUUGAUAGUGGAGCGUGGCCGCCUGUGCCGUGCUCAGGCCUGUUGCCACGUGGGCUCCCUGGCCAAGGGCUGGCACAGAUCUUGCAGGGGAAGCAUCAGCAGGAGAUGGUUGUGCUGUUACUUGCACAGGAGCAGAGCACACGGCCAAGCUGCAGCCCCUCCAGUGCUGUGCCGCCUCCUCCCUCUCUGCUUUGGGGUGGUAAAUCAUUCAACAUGGAAUAACAGCUGCUCAAACUGAGGAGGAAGGGCUCCCAGAGGCAAACCUCACCUGGGAAGACACUGGGAAGCGCUUCUGAACUGGCAAGAGUUGGCAAUGGGGAGUGAAGGGGGAUUUGACAAUGCUGAUGCUGCUCCUCAGGAACAGGGACUCAAGAAUGAGCAGGGAGAAUUCACACAUAACCUCCCUCCCCCUGAGGAUCUGUCAUUGCUGUAGCUCUGAGCCAUUGUGGAGGGACAAGCAAUACACCCACACGCCAACUCUGAGGAGCACGACAGGGCCAAGUGCCAGCUCUCCUCCUUCUCCAUCAAUCACCAGGAAGAGGGAGACAGCUGUCUCCCUGAGGAGUUUGGAAGAUGUCAUCAAGGAGCAGGAUAAAUCAGGUCCCUGCAUAUACAACAGGGCAAUUAUUUACGGAUCAUUAAAUAUUGGCUCUAAAAACCCCAGGCAUUAAACAAGAGCCUGUGCCAGGUUGUGUGUUUACCUUCUGCCUGCACCUGACGUGCAGGAGUGACGAUCAGCACCAGCCAUGCCCCAAACCCAGCACUCCUUUCCUGUGGCUGCUUCCUCUUGCCAGGGGAUGGAAAUAUUUCAAGGAAACCCAAUUUCUAGGUACAAACUGCAACUGCCCUGGAGCUCUCUGACAAGGACCUUUCCAGGUAUGUCUGAGCUGGAUUCAAAACUGCCUGGGUUUUAUUUAAAACCUAUUUUCAGACUACUGAGUUUAGUGGAGUCACUGGUGAGGGCAAAGUGACCUACUCUGAUGUGGUUCUACCACCUUCUCCCUGGGGAAUUGAGCAGGAAAGCACAGCCAGGGUCAGCAAGCCUGGCAGGAUAACAGUGCACUGGUGUGGGCAGGGACCCGCUGGGAUCCUGGCUGCAGGGAUGCUGUGCUGUGGCACAGGUGGCUGCCCCAAGCCAAAGAAGGAGGAGUAAGUACAACCUGAUCUCAGCCACUCUCUGCCUCAGGGCUUCCACCUCUGCAAGACCCUGGUUCAGUUUGUGGCUGGGCCUGGCCAUCCCUGCCAGGAGCAGCAGCAAAGUGGCAGCAGGCAGUGCCUGGUGGGAUGCCCUUAUAAGAGCAAACUCGAGCUCCCAGCCAUAAACGAAACCCUUCUCUUUCAUUUACUCAUCUGACCUGGCGGUGCUGGAACUGAUAAUGCUGGUUUCCUUUUAAGCAGAGGCCAGUCAUAAAUAAAAUAAACCAGGCAUGCUUUGU